UACGGGGGGGGCAAGCGUUGUUCGGAAUUACUGGGCGUAAAGGGCUCGUAGGCGGCCAACUAAGUCGGAUGUGAAAUCCCCAGGCUUAACCUGGGAACUGCAUCCGAUACUGGAUGGCUUGAAUCCGGGAGAGGGAUGCAGAAUUCCUGGUGUAGCGGUGAAAUGCGCAGAUAUCAGGAGGAACACCAAUGGCGAAGGCAGAUCUCUGGGCCGUAACUGACGCUGAGGAGCGAAAGCAUGGGGAGCGAACAGG
RNAcentral lists this ribosomal RNA (253 nucleotides) under uncultured bacterium. RNAcentral's name for it is "partial 16S ribosomal RNA". It matches the Rfam family "Bacterial small subunit ribosomal RNA", at positions 524 to 776 of the family's 1533-position model. The record is from RNAcentral.